UUGAAUUAACUAUGCUUGGGAAGUUAGUAUUGAAGGUUCCGAGGCCGAGAAAAUGGUAGGUUCCUCCUAGAAUUUAAGCCAUAAAAUUUCUCCUCUUCAAGUUUCCCACUUACCUCAAAAAAUUCGAAAAUUCCGUCCCUAAAAUUCCCCCCAAAGUAUAAUUUAUCCAUCAAAAUAUCAAUUUCAUAGUCGUUUACACACCCACCGUGAAAACCCUAAAACUAGUUCGAGUGUUCGCAUAUAUCGUCAUCAUCAGAUUGCAUACACCUGGUAUGGCAUAUGCAGCGGAUGUUAACAUGGGUAUCUGGGGGGCUCAUGGCUCCAUUAAAGGAUUUUGGACUUUUGGGUACAGAUGUCUUGUGGUUUUAGAAGUUAUUAAAUUUUGAUUUUUGGUGUAUU
RNAcentral lists this long non-coding RNA (399 nucleotides) under Helianthus annuus (common sunflower). Its description in RNAcentral is "sRNA HanXRQr2_Chr17g0804501". Lineage: Eukaryota; Viridiplantae; Streptophyta; Magnoliopsida; Asterales; Asteraceae. The record is from RNAcentral.